Brassica napus (rape) is the source of this 774-nucleotide long non-coding RNA. RefSeq lists it as uncharacterized. Lineage: Eukaryota; Viridiplantae; Streptophyta; Magnoliopsida; Brassicales; Brassicaceae. The record is from RefSeq and is a predicted model, not a curated record. The transcript has 3 exons.
AGACAUCGAGACCAGCCGCAAAUUAUUUUAGGGUUUGGUGUUUCUUCCACAAUGAAUCGAAGUCUUUUUCUUCUUCGAUCUCUGUAAGGCUGUGUCUAUAUUCCUCUAAAAUGGCUAAUUCAUCAAUCCUUUUUCAGAAUAGAAGUCAGCCCUAUGUUUUUCAACCGUGGAGGUGAGAUUGACAGAAACGUCAAACGCGGUGGAAAGACUUUCUGUCACCGGCUGAUCCGGAAAUCAAGUGAUUGAAUCACGAGCAGGGAGAGAUAGGUUUGGGUUUGAUCUUGGACUCAACGAAGGAUGAUGAACCAGAUCCAUAUACUCGCGGAUAUGGAAGUGAAUAGAUCCUAAAGGUAUUGUUUUGGCUGGUGUUGUUAUUGCAGUUGCUUUGUCGCUGACAAAGAAGAAAAGAAGGAAGGAGCAGAAGAAGAGUAUUGUUAAUGGUAAGAAGAGUCCGUACACAAGGCUAGGUUGCCGUGGCGAUUGGCCCAAUAUAAAACCGUGGGGAUGGGAUCCGUCGUCUGACACCGGAGCUCAUCCAAGCUUCUCAUAUGUAUUCUUAAAACAAUGCUCUUUUGUUCUCUUUUCUAUAAAACCCAGCAACAAGCGUUAUAAAGAGUUAUCACUUUCAUGUCAUUGAUAAUUUCUGUACAAGACGUAUAUUUGAUGAUUUAAGUUUUGACUCUUUGAGUAAAGUCAGGUCUGAUGUAUAACAAAGAACGGAAGCUGUAGAUCAAUAAAAAAAAAAUCAAAUUGAGAAAAUAUCAAGAAAAUGGA